GAACGCUGGCGGCGUGCCUAAUACAUGCAAGUCGAGCGAACAGACGAGGAGCUUGCUCCUCUGACGUUAGCGGCGGACGGGUGAGUAACACGUGGAUAACCUACCUAUAAGACUGGGAUAACUUCGGGAAACCGGAGCUAAUACCGGAUAAUAUAUUGAACCGCAUGGUUCAAUAGUGAAAGACGGUUUUGCUGUCACUUAUAGAUGGAUCCGCGCCGCAUUAGCUAGUUGGUAAGGUAACGGCUUACCAAGGCAACGAUGCGUAGCCGACCUGAGAGGGUGAUCGGCCACACUGGAACUGAGACACGGUCCAGACUCCUACGGGAGGCAGCAGUAGGGAAUCUUCCGCAAUGGGCGAAAGCCUGACGGAGCAACGCCGCGUGAGUGAUGAAGGUCUUCGGAUCGUAAAACUCUGUUAUUAGGGAAGAACAAAUGUGUAAGUAACUAUGCACGUCUUGACGGCACCUAAUCAGAAAGCCACGGCUAACUACGUG
Molecule: ribosomal RNA, 494 nt
Filed under: uncultured bacterium
Lineage: Bacteria
Description: partial 16S ribosomal RNA
Rfam family: Bacterial small subunit ribosomal RNA
Source: RNAcentral